UGGGGAAUAUUGGACAAUGGGCGAAAGCCUGAUCCAGCCAUGCCGCGUGUGUGAAGAAGGUCUUCGGAUUGUAAAGCACUUUAAGUUGGGAGGAAGGGCAUUAACCUAAUACGUUAGUGUUUUGACGUUACCGACAGAAUAAGCACCGGCUAACUCUGUGCCAGCAGCCGCGGUAAUACAGAGGGUGCAAGCGUUAAUCGGAAUUACUGGGCGUAAAGCGCGCGUAGGUGGGUUGUUAAGUUGGAUGUGAAAUCCCCGGGCUCAACCUGGGAACUGCAUUCAAAACUGACUGACUAGAGUAUGGUAUAGGGUGGUGGAAUUUCCUGUGUAGCGGUGAAAUGCGUAGAUAUAGGAAGGAACACCAGUGGCGAAGGCGACCACCUGGACUAAUACUGACACUGAGUUGCGAAAGCGUGGGGAGCAAACA
This 427-nucleotide ribosomal RNA is filed under the name uncultured bacterium. RNAcentral describes it as "partial 16S ribosomal RNA". It matches the Rfam family "Bacterial small subunit ribosomal RNA", at positions 355 to 774 of the family's 1533-position model. The record is from RNAcentral.